RNAcentral lists this long non-coding RNA (1449 nucleotides) under Piliocolobus tephrosceles (Ugandan red Colobus). RNAcentral's name for it is "lncRNA (ENSPTEG00000009376.1)". Lineage: Eukaryota; Metazoa; Chordata; Mammalia; Primates; Cercopithecidae. The record is from RNAcentral.
GCGCGGCUGACUGCGGCGGCGGCGCGGCGGCGGUGACUGGGCAUCGCGCGGUGCGGGUGCCUCCGCCGCCGCCCCCGGAGCGGGAGGCGGGGAUGUGAGAGCCGAGGCGCGGAGGGAGGGACGGGCGCACCGAGGAAGGGCGGGGGCCUCCCAGGCUAGGGUUUCGCGGCCGCUUCGGGGGAUAGAGUUGUCCCCUGUCUCGAGUUCCGUACCAUCCCCCUCCUCGGGCCGCCGCAGCCCGGGCCGCCCCGUUAAUGAUUGAUGCGGGGACCAAAGGCUGGACUUUUAUUUGGAACUGAGUCCGACAGCUCAGGACUGGCUGUUCAAACUCCACAACUUAAUGAAAAAUCUCAGAUGACUCCGAAAACCUCUAACGAUCUGAGGAAUGUAUUAAGGGAUUCCAAAGUCAAAGGCUGAUCGUGGAGGGCAUUGAUGAGGGGAGACUUCAGGGUGCUGCCUCCUGAGAAGCUGUUGUGUAGCCAGCCAUGACCGUGUCAAGUAAAGAGACUUACUGUCUUACACAGCCUCCCCUUCUAUCUUAAGAUUUUUUCAUUGUCGUUAGAAAACUUUGUAAAUAAUUAAAUGAACAUAACUGAUAAAACACCCUGUUGCAUCUUGGCCCAAAGCUCAGCCGUAAGUGUUAUUGAGUUGAACCAAUAAGAUCUGGUUAGAAAGUCCCCAAAAAUAAUGAUACCAAAUUAGGCAUAUGUACAGUACAUGUGGAAUGUGAUGGCUGGACAUUGAUUAGGCACAUUUAUUAAAAGAACAUCUUCCUCCAAACAAAUAACAGCUGUGAAUCCCCAGGGGGUUGCCAUACCCUAGAUCACUGCAAAGAGGCAUAUAGAAAAUUCUGUGAUUUCCUAGAUGGUCUUUGCACUUAGCACAAUGAUAUUGAUUCUAGUAAUUGAUUAAUACACAAAAGAAAGCAUUCUGCUAUAAUGUUCUGCCUACUUAACACCAAGGAGAAGGCAUCUCAGUCACUGGGCUCUGGCUCUUAAACUCACUUGCUGCUCUUUCCCUUUAGUCUUUUACUGUAAUGAUUUUCCUUUUCAUUGCGAUUCAGUAUCUGUCUGUUGAAAACAUUUAUGAACUUGAUUAUCUAGGUGCCAAUCUCUAAACUAAUUGAAGGGUGUCAUAUCCUAUAUAUAUAUAGAUUUUUAAAGAGUAUGUUUCAGUAAUCUCUCAUCAUAUGCCCCUUUCAUAUGAAAACCACUAGACUUUGGGGUUACCGAUGAGUCUCCUCAGUGCACUUGUCAUUUCUACCCAGUUAACAAGGAGCAUUUUUUUCUAGGAAGGUAUUUGUUCUUGUGGGCACCCACUGGCGUGGCAUGAGUCCUUUGUAUCUUGUGUUCUGCGAAUUCUGUGGUCUAAAUGCAUUAGUAUUGUUUCAUUCUUUGUCCCUGCCUUGCUCCUCCAACCUCCCUCCCUCUCCCCACCAAUCUCAACUCU